AUUGAACUCUGGCGGCAGGCCUAACACAUGCAAGUCGAGCGGAUGAAGGGAGCUUGCUCCUGGAUUCAGCGGCGGACGGGUGAGUAAUGCCUAUGAAUCUGCCUGGUAGUGGGGGAUAACGUCCGGAAACGGGCGCUAAUACCGCAUACGUCCUGAGGGAGAAAGUGGGGGAUCUUCGGACCUCUCGCUAUCAGAUGAGCCUAGGUCGGAUUAGCUAGUUGGUGGGGUAAAGGCCUACCAAGGCGACGAUGCGUAACUGGUCUGAGAGGAUGAUCAGUCACACUGGAACUGAGACACGGUCCAGACUCCUACGGGAGGCAGCAGUGGGGAAUAUUGGACAAUGGGCGAAAGCCUGAUCCAGCCAUGCCGCGUGUGUGAAGAAGGUCUUCGGAUGGUAAAGCACUUUAAGUUGGGAGGAAGGGCAGUAAGUUAAUACCUUGCUGUUUUGACGUUACCAACAGAAUAAGCACCGGCUAACUUCGUG
This 484-nucleotide ribosomal RNA is filed under the name uncultured bacterium. RNAcentral describes it as "partial 16S ribosomal RNA". It matches the Rfam family "Bacterial small subunit ribosomal RNA", at positions 30 to 507 of the family's 1533-position model. The record is from RNAcentral.